AGGGAUGUGCUCGCGGCCUAUCAGCUUGUUGGUGGGGUAAUGGCCUACCAAGGCUUCGACGGGUAGCCGGCCUGAGAGGGGUGACCGGGCCACACUGGGACUGAGACACGGCCCAGACUCCUACGGGAGGCAGCAGUGGGGAAUAUUGGACAAUGGGCGGAAGCCUGAUCCAGCAACGCCGCGUGAGGGAUGACGGCCUUCGGGUUGUAAACCUCUUUCAGUACCGACGAAGCGCCGAUGAUGGUGGUGACGGUAGGUACAGAAGAAGCACCGGCCAACUACGUG
RNAcentral lists this ribosomal RNA (285 nucleotides) under uncultured bacterium. RNAcentral describes it as "partial 16S ribosomal RNA". It matches the Rfam family "Bacterial small subunit ribosomal RNA", at positions 221 to 507 of the family's 1533-position model. The record is from RNAcentral.